This 90-nucleotide non-coding RNA is filed under the name Schistosoma japonicum. Lineage: Eukaryota; Metazoa; Platyhelminthes; Trematoda; Strigeidida; Schistosomatidae. The record is from RNAcentral.
UUUGCAGUGCUAAGGAAUUAGAGAUGUGUUUUGUAUUGAAGAACACUUCCAGCAAACGUUCGCGCGUUUUUCGACUGUGGUGCUGUAAUC